AGUUUGAUCCUGGCUCAGGACGAACGCUGGCGGCGUGCCUAACACAUGCAAGUCGAGCGGAGACAGUGAGUAGCUUGCUAUGAGCUGUUUUAGCGGCGGACGGGUGAGUAACGCGUGAGCAACCUUUUCCCAAAAGGAGGAAUAACCACCCAAAAAAGUUCUCAAUACCCCCUAUACCCCCCCGGCAUCCCUUUGUUUUGGGGAAAAAAUUUUUUCGGGUUGGGGGGGGCCCCGCCUCCAAUUUAGUGUAGUGGUGGAGGAACCGGCCCCACAAAGCGGGAAGAUUUGUACCCCCCCUGGAGAGGGUUGUCGCCCCCCUUUGGGAAUGGACCCCCGCCCCAUAUCUCUUGGGGGGAGCCACCAGGGGGGAAUUUUUGGCCAAGGGAGGAAUCUUCGCCCCCACCACCGCCGGGUGGGAGAAAGAAGUUUUUCGGAUCGAAAACUCCCUUCCUUGGAGACGAUUAGAAGCCGGUAUCCAAGGAGGAAGCCCCGGCUAACUACGUGCCAGCAGCCGCGGUAAUACGUAGGGGGCAAGCGUUGUCCGGAAUAAUUGGGCGUAAAGGGCGCGUAGGCGGCUCGGUAAGUCUGGAGUGAAAGUCCUGCUUUUAAGGUGGGGAUUGCUUUGGAUACUGUCGGGCUUGAGUGCAGGAGAGGUUAGUGGAAUUCCCAGUGUAGCGGUGAAAUGCGUAGAGAUUGGGAGGAACACCAGUGGCGAAGGCGACUAACUGGACUGUAACUGACGCUGAGGCGCGAAAGUGUGGGGAGCAAACAGGAUUAGAUACCCUGGUAGUCCACACUGUAAACGAUGAAUGCUAGGUGUAGGGGGUAUCGACCCCUUCUGUGCCGCAGUCAACACAAUAAGCAUUCCGCCUGGGGAGUACGGCCGCAAGGUUGAAACUCAAAGGAAUUGACGGGGGCCCGCACAAGCAGCGGAGCAUGUGGUUUAAUUCGACGCAACGCGAAGAACCUUACCAGGUCUUGACAUCCACUUAAACUUACAGAGAUGUAAGGUGUGCUUGCACAAAGUGAGACAGGUGGUGCAUGGUUGUCGUCAGCUCGUGUCGUGAGAUGUUGGGUUAAGUCCCGCAACGAGCGCAACCCUUAUCUUCAGUUACUAACGCGUAGAGGUGAGGACUCUGAAGAGACUGCCGGGGACAACUCGGAGGAAGGUGGGGACGACGUCAAAUCAUCAUGCCCCUUAUGACCUGGGCUACACACGUGCUACAAUGGCCACGACAGAGAGAGGCGAAAUCGCAAGGUAGAGCGGAACUCAAAAAAGUGGUCCCAGUUCGGAUUGUGGGCUGCAACCCGCCCACAUGAAGUCGGAGUUGCUAGUAAUCGCGGAUCAGCAUGCCGCGGUGAAUACGUUCCCGGGCCUUGCACACACCGCCCGUC
RNAcentral lists this ribosomal RNA (1395 nucleotides) under uncultured bacterium. RNAcentral describes it as "partial 16S ribosomal RNA". It matches the Rfam family "Bacterial small subunit ribosomal RNA". The record is from RNAcentral.